UAAAAAAGAGAAGAGCGAGUACAUUUAGGUUAAUAUUCACACCAGCUCAUUCGUGGUAGUGGAUUGGAGAGUUAGUGACUCGCUAAAGAUUGAAAAAAACCACUACCACUGCAAGCAAGAUGCAUGUUAUUACUUUUUUCCUGCCCGUGGUCUUUCUCCUGAUGCAGGGACAACAAAGCAAGCAAUGUAGUCCUGGACCAGGUUACAAACCACCAACUAUUACAAACCUCACUCGCAGUGCACCCAUUGUUGUCAGAGGCUAUGUCGUCAACAAAGGCAGCGAUAUUAACAUUUUCAAAGCUUGUCUUUUCGUAACUCAUGUUUACAAAGGAAUAGGAAUUCGACGAAAUUACAUAUGUGUUUCAAGAUUUGGAUCUUCGUCGCUGUGUUUGUCGAAUCCUCGGUUUGGAGUGGAAUAUUUGUUCUUCUUAAACAGAAAGGUGAACACGAAACUGGGAACUAUGUUUGAGGCUCGCUACGACAGUAUUCAUUCUGCAGUUCAAGAAAUCAAGAAAGGGUCUGUGAAUGAGAUAAGAAGAGGAAAAUGCUGCCCAAACGGAAAUAAAUGUCGAACUCCACUGCGAUGUCGCUAUCGUUAUUUUAAACAUUACGUUUCCUGCUUUUGUGGACGUCGUCGAUUUGGACAUUAAAUCAUGGGUUAAAUACGUCAUUUGCCUUCUCAUUUUGUUAAAUGAAUUUUGUAGAAGAAUUGUUGGUUAGAAAUAAAAAAUAUCGAGUA
Molecule: long non-coding RNA, 739 nt
Organism: Xenia sp. Carnegie-2017
Lineage: Eukaryota; Metazoa; Cnidaria; Anthozoa; Malacalcyonacea; Xeniidae
Exons: 3
Source: RefSeq, a predicted model, not a curated record